This 496-nucleotide ribosomal RNA is filed under the name uncultured bacterium. RNAcentral's name for it is "partial 16S ribosomal RNA". It matches the Rfam family "Bacterial small subunit ribosomal RNA", at positions 28 to 507 of the family's 1533-position model. The record is from RNAcentral.
GAUGAACGCUGGCGGCGUGCCUAAUACAUGCAAGUCGAGCGAACAGACGAGGAGCUUGCUCCUCUGACGUUAGCGGCGGACGGGUGAGUAACACGUGGAUAACCUACCUAUAAGACUGGGAUAACUUCGGGAAACCGGAGCUAAUACCGGAUAAUAUAUUGAACCGCAUGGUUCAAUAGUGAAAGACGGUUUUGCUGUCACUUAUAGAUGGAUCCGCGCCGCAUUAGCUAGUUGGUAAGGUAACGGCUUACCAAGGCGACGAUGCGUAGCCGACCUGAGAGGGGGAUCGCCACACUUGAACCUGAGCACCGGCCCAGCCUCCACCGGGAGGAAGAAGUGGGGAAUUUCCGGAAAGGGGGGAAAGCUUGACGGACCACGGCGGGGUGAGUGAGGAAGGUUUCCGGUUGGUAAACCCUUGUUAUUAGGAAAGACAAAAUGUGUAGGUAACAAUGACGGCUUGGCGGUAACUUAACAAGAAAGCACGGCUAACCUAGGG